AGGAAUAUUGCACAAUGGGCGCAAGCCUGAUGCAGCAACACCGCGUGCGGGACGAAGGCCUUCGGGUCGUAAACCGCUUUUCUGGGGAAAGAGCAAGGACGGUACCUCAGGAAUAAGUCUCGGCUAACUACGUGCCAGCAGCCGCGGUAAAACGUAGGAGGCGAGCGUUAUCCGGAUUUACUGGGCGUAAAGCGCACGCAGGCGGCUCUGUGAGUCGGACGUGAAAGCUUCCAGCUUAACCGGGAGAGGCCGUUCGAUACUGCGGGGCUUGAGGUAGGGAGAGGAAUGCGGAAUUCCCGGUGUAGUGGUGGAAUGCGUAGAUAUCGGGAGGAACACCUGUGGCGAAAGCGGCAUUCUGGCCCUCACCUGACGCUGAGGUGCGAAAGCGUGGGUAGCAAACAG
RNAcentral lists this ribosomal RNA (402 nucleotides) under uncultured bacterium. RNAcentral describes it as "bacterial SSU rRNA". It matches the Rfam family "Bacterial small subunit ribosomal RNA", at positions 357 to 775 of the family's 1533-position model. The record is from RNAcentral.